This is an unclassified non-coding RNA of Macaca fascicularis (crab-eating macaque), 116 nucleotides long. It matches the Rfam family "Metazoan signal recognition particle RNA". Rfam says of the family: The signal recognition particle (SRP) is a universally conserved ribonucleoprotein. The record is from Ensembl. Lineage: Eukaryota; Metazoa; Chordata; Mammalia; Primates; Cercopithecidae.
GCCAGGUGUGGUGGCUCACACCUGUAAUCCAACACUUUGGGAGGCUGAGGCGAGUGGAUCACCUGAGGUCAGGAGUUCAAGACCAGCCUGACCAACAUGGUGAAACCCUGUCUCUA